CCCUUAGAUGUUCUGGGCAGCACGCGCGCUACAAUGGUCUUCGCAAACGGAUGCAUUCUCGAAGGAGAAUGCCAAUCUUGGAAUCUAUGCCUUGGUCGGGACAGUUGCUUGCAAUUUUUCGACUCGAACCAGGAAUUCCUUGUAAUCGUGAUUCAUCACAUCACGAUGAAUACGUCCCUGCCCUUUGUACACACCGCCCGUCGCUCCCGGAACUGAGCCGUUUCGAGAAGACUGAGGAUUGCUGACUUGAGGCCUUCACGGGCUUCUAGUCGGUGAAAAUCAAUUUAAUCGCAGCGGCUUGAACCGGGCAAAAGUCGUAACA
RNAcentral lists this ribosomal RNA (322 nucleotides) under uncultured eukaryote. RNAcentral describes it as "partial 18S ribosomal RNA". It matches the Rfam family "Eukaryotic small subunit ribosomal RNA", at positions 1470 to 1796 of the family's 1831-position model. The record is from RNAcentral.